RNAcentral lists this ribosomal RNA (371 nucleotides) under Shigella flexneri. RNAcentral's name for it is "partial 23S ribosomal RNA". It matches the Rfam family "Bacterial large subunit ribosomal RNA", at positions 59 to 469 of the family's 2925-position model. Lineage: Bacteria; Pseudomonadati; Pseudomonadota; Gammaproteobacteria; Enterobacterales; Enterobacteriaceae. The record is from RNAcentral.
UGCUAAUCUGCGAUAAGCGUCGGUAAGGUGAUAUGAACCAUUAUAACCGGCGAUUUCCGAAUGGGGAAACCCAGUGUGAUUCGUCACACUAUCAUUAACUGAAUCCAUAGGUUAAUGAGGCGAACCGGGGGAACUGAAACAUCUAAGUACCCCGAGGAAAAGAAAUCAACCGAGAUUCCCCCAGUAGCGGCGAGCGAACGGGGAGCAGCCCAGAGCCUGAAUCAGUGUGUGUGUUAGUGGAAGCGUCUGGAAAGGCGUGCGAUACAGGGUGACAGCCCCGUACACAAAAAUGCACAUAUUGUGAGCUCGAUGAGUAGGGCGGGACACGUGGUAUCCUGUCUGAAUAUGGGGGGACCAUCCUCCAAGGCUAA